UUUUUAUUCAGUUUUCCUUUUGAUUUAUCCUUUUCUCAAAAAUCAAAUUUUUUUCUUAAAAAAAAGCUCCACGAUCUCCUCUUGGCAAACCACGAUCCCCAAAUUAACUUCCUACUCUCAUCAAUUUCACCAUGUAUAUCUCACAAUCGAUUAUCACAAUUGUUCUCCCAUUCGUCUUCUUCAAAUCAACAUCCCUUCUUUAAAAAAAUCGUUGCUACUUUUACGGAAUCGCCUUCACUAAUCUAUAGCCAAACCUGAUUCGUCAACACCAACCGUUUAAUCCACACAGUUUGUUUAAUUUACACAGUUCGUUCAAACCAACCUCUCACCACGCUGGUCGUCUUUUUUUUCUUCCUCAAAGUUGCAGGUACUACUAUCACUGUUUGCAACAUGAAACUUGAUUUUACACCGAUUGCUUAACUAGAGUCUGUUACUGAGAAUUAAAGUCCGACUUGGUAAAGUGGAGUGAUGGUUUGUGUAUCAAUGAACACUGACAAUUUUACACGUUGGUAUGUGUUAUCACCAUCAAUGUAUAUUUGUCAAAGUUACACACCUUAUUAUAUUCUUAUGAAUUUUUCAUAUUUUUAAUACAGAUAUAAUUGGUAAAUCGUUGGCCAAAACAUACAUUCCUACGUUCAAUCCUUUUCUGGUGGACCUAUUGUUAAUGCUUUGUAAUCUCAUGAGGAUUCAUGUUUCUAAUGGAAAAUCAUAAUCCAAAGUGCAAAAUUGUCAACAAAGGCUCUUCAUUAAUCCUGCAUUGCUGAUAUAUAUAAACGAUUCAAAGAAAGGUAACCACAAUCGUUUGCAUUUUGUUUGUGUUACAUUUCUUUUAAUUUAUGUGUUAUGUCUUUUUCAAUAUAUAAUAGGAUGCCUAAAACGAAAUGGCUACAAGUUCGUUCUACAAUGUUACAUUUCUUUUAGUUUAUGAAUUUUGUUUUCUUUAUGCGUUCACAUAAAUGAUAUAAGGUGUUUGUAAUGUUUUCUCCCUCUAUCUAUUUUUUGUCUUAUUUUCUAUAUUUUUAAUCAAUUCAAGU
Arabidopsis lyrata subsp. lyrata is the source of this 1034-nucleotide long non-coding RNA. RefSeq lists it as uncharacterized. The transcript has 3 exons. NCBI's taxonomy places the organism in Eukaryota, Viridiplantae, Streptophyta, Magnoliopsida, Brassicales, Brassicaceae. The record is from RefSeq and is a predicted model, not a curated record.